GGCCUUCUGGUGCUGACCGCAAGCUGUGUUCUUACACUGCAUAGAAAAAGGAGGCAGAGUAAACUCACCCCAUAUAUACCUCAACCUAGGCUCUGUGCCUGACCUCUUGUGAGUAAGGAGGCAUGC
RNAcentral lists this small nucleolar RNA (126 nucleotides) under Castor canadensis (American beaver). RNAcentral's name for it is "Small nucleolar RNA SNORA51 (ENSCCNG00000031398.1)". It matches the Rfam family "Small nucleolar RNA SNORA51". From Rfam's summary of the family: ACA51 is a member of the H/ACA class of snoRNA that guide the sites of modification of uridines to pseudouridines. The record is from Rfam by way of RNAcentral. Lineage: Eukaryota; Metazoa; Chordata; Mammalia; Rodentia; Castoridae.